Molecule: microRNA, 23 nt
Filed under: Dasypus novemcinctus (nine-banded armadillo)
Lineage: Eukaryota; Metazoa; Chordata; Mammalia; Cingulata; Dasypodidae
Also listed under: 10 other names
Description: dno-miR-195-3p
Gene: dno-miR-195-3p
Source: miRBase by way of RNAcentral
CCAAUAUUGGCUGUGCUGCUCCA